Clupea harengus (Atlantic herring) is the source of this 510-nucleotide long non-coding RNA. The record is from Ensembl. NCBI's taxonomy places the organism in Eukaryota, Metazoa, Chordata, Actinopteri, Clupeiformes, Clupeidae.
UGCCACCAUCUUCAGUGCAUUCUCUCUUAAAGGUGUACUGUGUGCCUCAUGCGUUCUCUCUUAAAGGUGUACUGUGUGCUUUAUGCUGUCACCAUCUUCAAUGCAUUCUCUCUUAAAGGUGUACUGUGUGCUUUAUGCUGUCACCAUCUUCAGUGCAUUCUCUCUUAAAGGUGUUCUGUGUGCUUCAUGCAUUCUCUCUUAAAGGUGUACUGUGUGAUUUAUGCUGUCACCAUCUUCAGUGCAUUCUCUCUUAAAGGUGUUCUGUGUGCUUCAUGCAUUCUCUCUUAAAGGUGUACUGUGUGAUUUAUGCUGUCACCAUCUUCAGUGCAUUCUCUCUUAAAGGUGUACUAUGUGAUUUAUGCUGUCGCCAUCUUCAGUGCCCUGGUGCGGUGACUCUCUGCCAUCACGGCGCUGCAUGUGCGCAUGUUCUCCCAGCCUGUGUCUCUGUGGCUUCCUCCCUCACAGGGUGGAGGUAGUGGGCAGGUGGAGGUAGUUGGCUUGAGUGGUUUG